Molecule: non-coding RNA, 564 nt
Organism: Equus caballus (horse)
Lineage: Eukaryota; Metazoa; Chordata; Mammalia; Perissodactyla; Equidae
Source: RefSeq, a predicted model, not a curated record
CAAACAAACCAAGGAUACAUGGUUGAUAGGGAGGGUCCCAUGAGUGGGGUCCCGGGGUACAUGGGAACUCUGCACUCUCCACUCAGUUUUGCUGUGAACCUAAAGCUGUAACCUCCGGCCCUCCAGGACCGGUCCAUCUGACCCCAUCUUCUCAGCAGAGUAAUGGAGAAUGGUUUUUCAGGAACAGAGGCCCCUCAUCCAGUACAGGCCGGUGAAGACCACAAACCCAUCAACUGGGCCUGUGCAACUGCUCGAAUGUAGGCACGGAGGCUCAAAUCUGAAUCCAACACUGAUUCUUGGAAUCCCAUCAAGCCCUGAACUACUCAGACGAAAGCCACAUCGUGCCUUGGUUCUCCCUUCCUCUUGAACACUCCAAAAUCCUCUGUGAGAAGAGGGGUGAAGGCAGAAAAAAUGAAACUCGGGUGUCAAGACAAAGCGUGGAGAGCUCAGAGACUAGAGCUGAUGCAAUAAACGUAAAACAGGAAGAAUUCUUCAAUAAACACAGUGUUUUCCUGCAACGUGAGAGGAGAGAGAAGUGUUUCUGGGACAGAGGAGAAGCUUGGC